UUAAUUCAAAUUUGUAUGGAGUUUGAAAGUUCUCCUACGUUUGCCGCUAGGGGCGCUGUUCCAACUGCAUACAAAUUUGAGUUA
Molecule: non-coding RNA, 84 nt
Organism: Bombyx mori (domestic silkworm)
Lineage: Eukaryota; Metazoa; Arthropoda; Insecta; Lepidoptera; Bombycidae
Source: Rfam